GGUCGAUUAGCUUAGUCGGUAGAGCGUGGUACUAAUACUUCAAGGGGCUUCCCUGAUGGUCACAUGCCAAGGUCGUGGGUUCGAUCCCCACAUUGACCA
Molecule: transfer RNA, 99 nt
Filed under: Puccinia graminis f. sp. tritici
Lineage: Eukaryota; Fungi; Basidiomycota; Pucciniomycetes; Pucciniales; Pucciniaceae
Description: tRNA-Ile
Rfam family: tRNA
About the family: Transfer RNA (tRNA) molecules are approximately 80 nucleotides in length. Their secondary structure includes four short double-helical elements and three loops (D, anti-codon, and T loops).
Source: RNAcentral